CACGUAGUUAGCCGGUGCUUCUUCUCUAGGUACCGUCACAUAACGCUUCGUCCCUAGCGAAAGGAGUUUACAACCCGAAGGCCGUCAUCCCCCACGCGGCGUCGCUGCAUCAGGCUUGCGCCCAUUGUGCAAUAUUCCCCACUGCUGCCUCCCGUAGGAGUCUGGGCCGUAUCUCAGUCCCAAUGUGGCCGUACACCCUCUCAGGCCGGCUACCCGUCGACGCCUUGGUAGGCCAUUACCCCACCAACAAGCUGAUAGGCCGCGAGCUCAUCCCACACCGAAAAAACUUUCCACCACAACCUCCAAGAAGUGGUCCUAUCCGGUAUUAGACCCAGUUUCCCAGGCUUAUCCCGAAGUGCGGGGCAGAUCACCCACGUGUUACUCACCCGUUCGCCACUCGAGUACCCAAGCAAGCUUGGGCCUUUCCGUUCGACUUGCAUGUGUUAAGCACGCCGCCAGCGUUCAUCCUGAGCCAGGAUCAAACUCU
Molecule: ribosomal RNA, 487 nt
Filed under: uncultured Corynebacterium sp.
Lineage: Bacteria; Bacillati; Actinomycetota; Actinomycetes; Mycobacteriales; Corynebacteriaceae
Description: partial 16S ribosomal RNA
Source: RNAcentral